Molecule: unclassified non-coding RNA, 200 nt
Filed under: uncultured Hygrocybe
Lineage: Eukaryota; Fungi; Basidiomycota; Agaricomycetes; Agaricales; Hygrophoraceae
Description: sequence contains ITS1
Source: RNAcentral
CUGAAGUGGUUUGAAGAUGUUGCUGGCUUCCUCUUUUUGAGGGAGUAAUGUGCACUCUUUGAAUGUUCACAAACCUUUCCAACACAUUCCUUGUGCACUUCUUGUAGGGCCCUCUUCUCCUCGGAGAUGAUGUCCUAUGUAUUUGUUUUGCUAUAUAACACAUGCUGGUCUAAGAAUGUAUUGUCAUUGAUUAAUAAUAA